Long non-coding RNA from Ostrinia nubilalis (European corn borer), 2365 nucleotides. RefSeq lists it as uncharacterized. The transcript is spliced from 2 exons. The record is from RefSeq and is a predicted model, not a curated record. Lineage: Eukaryota; Metazoa; Arthropoda; Insecta; Lepidoptera; Crambidae.
UUCAAGCACGCCAGCGAGAAGCGGGCGCAUAUUACGUACGUGCACCUGAAGAAGCCCUGGCCGAAACGCAGCCGCGGGAAACGGCGGGACACGCGACCGAUCCCAAUGCAACAAGUGGUGAUGGGUCCCGAAGACAUGCCUUUACAAUCAGUAUGGCCGUGCGACCCCAAAAUGCAGGGCUCUCACCAUGAGAAACAGCCCCCGACUUACUAUGCGCUUAAAAUGUAGAUAUAGUUCCAAAAUAACUGAACUGUCCUAUGCAUGACAUUGACAGUGGGGCGCCACCGUCAAUACCGGAUCGCUGGUUCCGAUUUUUGCCAUGUUGGAAACCAUAUAGUUGAACGAUGGUAGCGCCCCUGUCAUUGAGUUUGGUGGGACAGUUCAGCGUGGGUCAUCUAUAUCAUCAUCAUCAUCAUCAAUGUUAUCAUCGUCAUUUCAGCCCACAGAUCACAGAAACUAAAGGGAUAUGUGACAAGUGGGCGGGGCCGGUGUCGCAGCAAUAUGCCCAUAAACAGAACACAUUGCUGCAGACGUCAUAAUGUAAACAGUUUACAUUGCUUGCGUAGUGCUAAAGAUUAUUCGAACGUUGAGUACAGUACCCGGCAAUAAAUAUUGCACAUCGACCUUUGGAAAGAGAAUCGGUUAAUUUCGGCUCGUAGAGCGUUAUCUCUGUCGCACACUACCUAUACGAUUGACAAAACGUCAUUGACAAAACAUUAUUCAAUGAAAAUAUUGUCCGAACUCUUAGUAUUUCUCUUCGACAAAUACUUUAACACAUUAUGAACCACUUUUCUUUCACGACUAUAAAAAGUUUUUAGCAAUUUAAUUCACAAAAUCAAUUGCACACAUUUAAAAUAAAGUUUGUUUACACUUUGACAAAACGUCAUUGUCAGUCGUUGUUCAAGUGCGACAGUGAUAACGCUCUACGAAACCGAAAUUAGCUGAUUGUCUCUUUCUAAAGGUCGAUGUGCAAUAUUUAUCGCCGGGUAUUGUACUGAUACCGCAGUGGAUAAUGAGCACAUAUUUUGAUUUCUUUGUGUGUGUGAAUUUUUAAUGCGACACUGAGUUUCGAACUCAGCGCAUUAGAUGACAUCUCUCUUUAUCUAUGUUUCAGCCAUAGGACUGCUGAAAUUAGAUCUCCCUUAAAGGCUUCCCCCAAUGAUUUUGAGAGAGGCUGGUUUGAAAUAGGUCAUCAUCAUCAUCAUUUUAGCCACAGGACGUCCACUGCUGAACAUAGGCCUCCCCCAAUAAUUUUCAGAGGAUGGUUUGAAAUAAUUUCAUACAAAAGUGAAAAUUCAUGGAAUAUAAUCUUAUUUAUCUAUUAAACAGUAUUAUAAAGUAUGUAUAAAUAUAAAACGGCUUUACCUAAUCAGCUAAAAAAAUAUAUUUGCUGUUUCUAUCAAGUAAAAUAAGAAAAUAAUAAUGAUGAAAUAAAUAUAUUUUUACAUGUACUCAUAAUGUAGUGACCCUCAAUACAUAAAUAGAAACUUAUACAACUUGAAAGGGCUAGGAAGUGAUGAAUGAAGAUAAAAAUUAUGAAUUUACACAAUUUUAUUGUUUUAUAUUUUACAAAAUAAUAGGUGAUCUAAUUUGAAUUUUACAUAUUUUAUUUUAUUUAUUUAAAAAUAUAUAUCACCAGUAGACGCCUUUGGUAUAGACGGAUUUAUAUUUGUUUGGCACCAUAUUGAUUUUAUUUUGAAUCUUAUUGAGAUGAAAUAAAGUCCGAAAUGCAUCAUUUUAGGGCAAGUUGAAUUGCCUUACAAUAUUACUAGUUAUACAAUAGUAUGUAUAAGUGAGUUUUAUGCCAUAAUAAUAAUAGUAUUAAUAAUUUUACACUUAUUUAUACAGACAUUGUAGAUCGUUUCAUCCACUCGGACGCGCCCCACCAUUCUUAAGCGAAUGUUUGAGUGUUAUCGGUACACGCUAAUGCUCCAUGAGUGCACACGCACACUACAGUAAUGCCUUACGGAUUGCUCGGACCACACUCCCCGCACCCCGCGCGGCCGAGACCAAACAUUGGUGGGGCGCGGCCGAGUGGAUGAAACGAUCUAAAGUCUGGUCCGUGAGCACGUAGAAUUUUGUCCAAUGAACCCAAGCUACCCAUCCUUAUCGCUCGCGCGUAAUUAUUUUGCUAUCACGCUCGCACACUCACUGCGGGUGCCAGUCGCACAGUCGCGACAGCAAUAUAAUUACGCGCGAGCGAUAAGGAUUGGUAGCUAGGGGUCAUUUGACAAAAUUCCACGUGCUCACGGGCCGGGCUUUAUAUCUAUUUUAGACCACGACAUACGUAGAUCUGAUUAGUUGUAACUUUGCAUAAUAUUGUGAGAUUAUUUAUUAUUUGUAAAUAAAUGAAAUUGAUACUUGA